AUUGAACGCUGGCGGCAUGCCUUACACAUGCAAGUCGAACGGCAGCACGGGUGCUUGCACCUGGUGGCGAGUGGCGAACGGGUGAGUAAUACAUCGGAACAUGUCCCGUAGCGGGGGAUAGCCUGGCGAAAGCCGGAUUAAUACCGCAUACGAUCUACGGACGACAGGGGGGGACCUUCGGGCCUCGCGCUAUAGGGUUGGCCGAUGGCUGAUUAGCUAGUUGGGGGGGUAAAGGCCUACCAAGGCGACGAUCAGUAGAUGGUCGGAGAGGAGGACCAGCCACACUAGGACUGAGACACGGCCCAGACUCCUACGGGAGGCAGCAGUGGGGAAUGUUGGACAGUGGGCGAAAGCCUGAUCCAGCAAUGCCGCGUGUGUGAAGAAGGCGUUCGGGUUGUAAAGCACUUUUGUCCGGAAAGAAAUCCUUGGCUCUAAUACAGUCGGGGGAUGACGGUACCGGAAGAAUAAGCACCGGCUAACUACGUG
Molecule: ribosomal RNA, 486 nt
Filed under: uncultured bacterium
Lineage: Bacteria
Description: partial 16S ribosomal RNA
Rfam family: Bacterial small subunit ribosomal RNA
Source: RNAcentral